GGUGGCUAAGUGGUAGAGUGCUUGCCUUGCAUGCAUGAGGUCCUGGGUUCAAUUCCUCAGCACCA
RNAcentral lists this transfer RNA (65 nucleotides) under Dipodomys ordii (Ord's kangaroo rat). It matches the Rfam family "tRNA". From Rfam's summary of the family: Transfer RNA (tRNA) molecules are approximately 80 nucleotides in length. Their secondary structure includes four short double-helical elements and three loops (D, anti-codon, and T loops). Further hydrogen bonds mediate the characteristic L-shaped molecular structure. tRNAs have two regions of fundamental functional importance: the anti-codon, which is responsible for specific mRNA codon recognition, and the 3' end, to which the tRNAs corresponding amino acid is attached (by aminoacyl-tRNA synthetases). tRNAs cope with the degeneracy of the genetic code in two manners: having more than one tRNA (with a specific anti-codon) for a particular amino acid; and 'wobble' base-pairing, i.e. permitting non-standard base-pairing at the 3rd anti-codon position. The record is from Rfam by way of RNAcentral. Lineage: Eukaryota; Metazoa; Chordata; Mammalia; Rodentia; Heteromyidae.